RNAcentral lists this long non-coding RNA (897 nucleotides) under Mus pahari (shrew mouse). RNAcentral describes it as "lncRNA (MGP_PahariEiJ_G0004577.1)". Lineage: Eukaryota; Metazoa; Chordata; Mammalia; Rodentia; Muridae. The record is from RNAcentral.
AGGGAUGGGCUGGAAGCUAAGCUAGGGGAUAAUUAUAACUCCAUCCAUUAAGCACUUACUAUGUGCCAGACAUGUAACAUCCAGCACUUCAAUUGACUCCCAGAAGCCUUGUGGGGUCAGCACUCUUCUUGCUAGAGGGGCUAAAUAACCCGUCAAAGGAACCUGAUAAGGCCACUGUCUGAACCUGACUCCAGGACUCCAAGUUGAGACUUAAGUGUGAGAGUAGAAAUCAAGUGUUCUGUGGGUGUUUUCUUCAAGGAGAUUAUCCAUUUUAAGUAUGUAUCUUCCAAUGAGCCCGACAAUAUUGUGUGACAGAGGCCAACCUGGGAAGGGAAGAAAUUGGUUCCCCCAGAGUGCACCAGGGCACUUCCUGAGUUGGUGACACCCCUCCAUGUGGAAAGAAGAGCAAACCCAACAGAGACAGAGUGAGGCAGAGACAGAGUGAGGCAGUAUUGCCAUCCAGAAGAGAAGGAGAGGUCCCCUCCUUCCUCCAUUUGUGCCCAGCAACUGUGUCUGAGGACUAACAGGUGUCAGACACAUUGGAGGCUUCAGAGAUAGAGCCGUGACAAGGCGGACACGGAGCCCCAUGCCUUCAGACUCACAUUCUGUAGGGACAGGACGCCAAGAAACAAUCUCACACAGAAACCACAAAGAUUGGCAGCCACCACCAGAAGUCGGCAAGAGGCAAGGAGACACUUGCCGGAGUUUCAAGAGAAGGGUGUGGCCCCGCUGGUACCUUGACCUGAGGCUUCUGACCGCCAGUAAUGGGAUAGAACGUUUCUGUUGUUUUCAGACACCUGUGUUUGUCACAGCCACAUGACACAGCUUUGUCUGAGCUACAAGGGACAAAAAUCUUUCAAAUGGAACCAAAUAAACCAAAUAAUUGAUUUCAACUGG